AAGUUCCUCUGUUGUGGGACUCAGCUGGUUCUUUUCUGUUGUCUUUCCUGUACUUUUUCCGCUAUAGGUCGUACCCUCGCCGACGUUGCGAUGGGGGAAGCAGAGAAGUUUCACUACAUCUACAGUUGUGACCUGGAUAUCAACGUCCAGCUUAAGAUAGGAAGCUUGGAAGGGAAGAGAGAACAAAAGAGUUAUAAAGCUGUCCUAGAAGACCCAAUGUUGAAGUUUUCAGGACUAUACCAAGAGACAUGCUCGGAUCUUUAUGUUACUUGUCAGGUUUUUGCAGAAGGGAAGCCUUUGGCCUUGCCAGUGAGAACAUCCUACAAAGCAUUUAGUACAAGAUGGAACUGGAACGAAUGGCUGAAACUACCAGUAAAAUACCCUGACCUGCCCAGGAAUGCCCAAGUGGCACUCACCAUAUGGGAUGUGUAUGGACCUGGAAAAGCAGUGCCUGUAGGAGGAACAACAGUUUCGCUCUUUGGAAAAUACGGCAUGUUUCGCCAAGGGAUGCAUGACUUGAAAGUCUGGCCUAAUGUAGAAGCCGAUGGAUCAGAACCCACAAAAACUCCUGGCAGAACAAGUAGCACUCUCUCAGAAGAUCAGAUGAGCCGCCUUGCCAAGCUCACCAAAGCUCAUCGACAAGGACACAUGGUGAAAGUAGAUUGGCUGGAUAGAUUGACAUUUAGAGAAAUAGAAAUGAUAAAUGAGAGUGAAAAACGAAGUUCUAAUUUCAUGUACCUGAUGGUUGAGUUUCGAUGUGUCAAGUGUGAUGAUAAGGAAUAUGGUAUUGUUUAUUAUGAAAAGGACGGUGAUGAAUCAUCUCCAAUUUUAACAAGUUUUGAAUUAGUGAAAGUUCCUGACCCCCAGAUGUCUAUGGAGAAUUUAGUGGAGAGCAAACACCACAAGCUUGCCCGGAGUUUAAGAAGUGGACCUUCUGACCAUGAUCUCAAACCCAAUGCUGCCACAAGAGAUCAGUUAAAUAUUAUUGUGAGUUAUCCACCAACCAAACAACUUACAUAUGAAGAACAAGAUCUUGUUUGGAAGUUUAGAUAUUAUCUUACAAAUCAAGAAAAAGCCUUGACAAAAUUCUUGAAAUGUGUUAAUUGGGAUCUACCUCAAGAGGCCAAACAGGCCUUGGAACUUCUGGGAAAAUGGAAGCCGAUGGACGUAGAGGACUCCUUGGAGCUGUUAUCCUCUCAUUACACCAACCCAACAGUGAGGCGUUAUGCUGUUGCCCGGUUGCGACAGGCCGAUGAUGAGGAUUUGUUGAUGUACCUAUUACAAUUGGUCCAGGCUCUCAAAUAUGAAAAUUUUGAUGAUAUAAAGAAUGGAUUGGAACCUACCAAGAAGGAUAGUCAGAGUUCAGUGUCAGAAAAUCUGUCAAAUUCUGGAAUAAAUUCUGCAGAAAUAGAUAGCUCCCAAAUUAUAACCAGCCCCCUUCCUCCAGUCUCCUCACCACCUCCUGCAUCAAAAACAAAAGAAGUUCCAGAUGGCGAAAAUCUGGAACAAGAUCUCUGUACCUUCUUGAUAUCGAGAGCCUGCAAAAACUCAACACUGGCUAAUUAUUUAUACUGGUAUGUGAUCGUGGAAUGUGAAGAUCAAGAUACCCAGCAGAGGGAUCCAAAGACCCAUGAGAUGUACUUGAAUGUAAUGAGAAGAUUUAGCCAAGCGUUGUUGAAGGGUGAUAAGUCUGUCAGAGUUAUGCGUUCUUUGCUGGCCGCACAACAGACAUUUGUAGAUCGGUUGGUGCAUCUAAUGAAGGCAGUACAACGUGAAAGUGGAAAUCGUAAGAAAAAGAAUGAGAGACUACAGGCGUUGCUUGGAGAUAAUGAAAAGAUGAAUUUGUCAGAUGUGGAACUUAUCCCGUUGCCUUUAGAACCCCAAGUGAAAAUUAGAGGAAUAAUUCCGGAAACAGCUACACUGUUUAAAAGUGCCCUUAUGCCUGCACAGUUGUUUUUUAAGACAGAAGAUGGAGGCAAAUAUCCAGUUAUAUUUAAGCAUGGAGAUGAUUUACGUCAAGAUCAACUUAUUCUUCAAAUCAUUUCACUCAUGGACAAGCUGUUACGGAAAGAAAAUCUGGACUUGAAAUUGACACCUUAUAAGGUGUUAGCCACCAGUACAAAACAUGGCUUCAUGCAGUUUAUCCAGUCAGUUCCUGUGGCUGAAGUUCUUGAUACAGAGGGAAGCAUUCAGAACUUUUUUAGAAAAUAUGCACCAAGUGAGAAUGGGCCAAAUGGGAUUAGUGCUGAGGUCAUGGACACCUACGUUAAAAGCUGUGCUGGAUAUUGCGUGAUCACGUAUAUACUUGGAGUUGGAGACAGGCACCUGGAUAACCUUUUGCUAACGAAAACAGGCAAACUCUUCCACAUAGACUUUGGAUAUAUUUUGGGUCGGGAUCCGAAGCCUCUUCCUCCACCAAUGAAGCUGAAUAAAGAAAUGGUAGAAGGAAUGGGGGGCACACAGAGUGAGCAGUACCAAGAGUUCCGUAAACAGUGUUACACGGCUUUCCUCCACCUGCGAAGGUAUUCUAAUCUGAUUUUGAACUUGUUUUCCUUGAUGGUUGAUGCAAACAUUCCAGAUAUUGCACUUGAACCAGAUAAAACUGUGAAAAAGGUUCAGGAUAAAUUCCGUUUAGACCUGUCGGAUGAAGAGGCUGUGCAUUACAUGCAGAGUCUGAUCGAUGAGAGUGUCCAUGCUCUUUUUGCUGCAGUGGUGGAACAGAUUCACAAGUUUGCCCAGUACUGGAGAAAAUGAAACUGGGAUUGACGCAUCAAGAUGCUUGGCUCAAUAAGAAAACCACGUUAGGAGCAAUCUAUGUAUAUUGGAGACUUCAGAGUAACCAGCAAGGAAGAGAAAACUUAAUCGUCAAGUUAUCAUAUUUUCCAGAUAUUACAUGCCCUGAGCUUGCCUCUUUAGAGUGGUGUUACCAGCGAGAGGGGAAGCAUGUAAUUGACACUCUAGAGGCAUAUGGAAUGUGAUUUGUAUAAAACAUACCUGCUGAUUAGAAAAAUGGUAAGAAUGAAAAUACCUUUAUACAUCAUCUUAAGAGAGCGUAUAUCUAAACUAAAUGGGCAGGCUUCAUCCUCUACCUUUCUUUUUCUUUUCUUUGCAUGUUUAUGUCUUUUUUGCUGUUGUUCAGAUAUUUUUAGCCCUCUGCAUGCUCAUUCUUGUAGUUCUGUUUCUAUUGGCACUUCCUCCAAAAUUUUUCUCUGAAUUACCUAUGUUGAAAAUGACCUUUCUUCCUUGUGAACUCCUACACUGGCAUCUCCUGUUUCAGGGUUUGGCAUACUUUUUCUUUAAUGGGCUAAAAAAGUAAGUAUCUUCAGCUUUGGGGGGCAUAUGGUCUCAAUAGCAUCAACUUAACUCUGCUAACUGGAAGGCAAAAGUGUAUCAUCUUACUCAUCCAUAAACUCCACAGCACUCUGCAUAGAUAGGAGGAUGUUUAUAAGGAACUCAAUAAAUAAUUCUGACACAGACAUGAAAUUCUCUAAGGACAGACACUGACAACUAGUCAGGAAGGUUGAUCAUGAGUAACUUUGUAUUCAGUGCCACCUUAUCAAAAAUUGUAAAGAGGAUAAACCUUUCUAGGAAGGGUGACGCGUGCUGGGUGAGGAAGGAGCAUCGCUCAGGAGGGUGAACAGUAGCUGUGGAUUUGCUGAGAGAUUUUGGCUGUGAGUGACAAGCCUAUAUCAAAAAGAAAAGUGACUUAUCAAUCUCAGUUUUUAUUGCUCAAAGCAAUUCUUCACUCCUAAUUUUUCCAAAUUCCAUUGUUUUUACUCUUUAGAGCUCUAUCCUGAGUGUAAUCUGCAUGUUUCUUUAUUGUCAUUGCCAUGUGACUUCUUUGGUGACAAGUUCAGUAAUAUUUCAAGCAUGAUGUUUGUUUUGAGUUUGAGAAAUGUGUUUGUGAGGACACAUCACUUUAAUUAAAAAGUGUGAAUACUAUGGUCAUAAGUUAUUCAGAGUGAGAUUUCUGAGUGGGGGAGAGAGAAUGUAGAUGGCAGUUAUUGAGAGUGGGGCUAUAGGAAAAAAAGAAGAAAAGUAUGGUUAACAUUCCCAAAUAAAGGGUGAUACAGCCUUGCUUUUUGCUGGGGUUAGCAAAAAUCAUUCUCCAUAUGCUAGUUUUAGAUGUUCCCCAGUUCAUUUGUAUUAUUGAGUUUUCAGCUGGGUAUGUAUUGUUAUAAUAGCAGUCAACAUGAUGUAGGGGCUCGGUAUUACAUGUCAGGACUAUAUUAAUUGCUUCAUAUGCCUUAUCUCAUUAUUCUAUGAGAUAGAAUUGUCUCCUUAUUUUUCAGUUGAAGUAACUGAAGUUUAAAGCAAUUGAAUCAUCUGCCCAAGAAUAAGCUGCUGGUGAGAGCACAGUUGGGAUUUAAGUCGAGUUAGGCCCCAGUGAUCACAGUCUUGACUGUUAAAUUCUUCCAGCCUUCAUUUUUCACUGAGAUAAUAGUAAUGAUAGUACUGACCUCUAAGGUGUGCAUUUGUGGGUGUGUGGUCCGUUCAGCUUUAAUCCCCAGAAGACAAGACUUAUUCCUUUUCUUAGUUUUGGUCAUGUUUUAUUUUUCCAUUGCUUUUAACAGGAUUACCAAAGGCACACUCAGUAGUCAGUAAACACAUUUCUAAGAAAGGUGUUGUGUCAUCAUGCCACAUAUUCAUACCUGCCUUGGGUUGGAAAGUAUAUCAUUCAGUAAAAACAUACAGGUAAAAUAAAUCUUGCCAAUGCAAUUGUUAACCUACAAUCCUAAUAUACCUUAAGUAUAUCCUUGCACAUAAAUAUAACAUUGCCAUUUAAAACGAUAAACCAAAUUGAGAUUCUUAGGAGCAUGUUGUAAGUAAUUACUAAUGUUUGCUUUAUUUUAGAUAGAUCACACAACUUCAAAUAAAAACUGAUAGAGAUUGAACCGAUUGAGAAUAAACCUUAGUGCCAAAUGGAAAAUAAUUUUUUACAAGUAAAUUUGAAGAACAGUGUGGACUUUCUUUAAUUAUAUACAGAAAAUAUACUGAUUUACCAAAUGAAUAAUUUUGAUAUAUUAAUAUUUCACUUAUAAGGAUGCAUACCACCUGAUCCAGCAUGGGAGCAAGGAACAGAAAAAGAACAUUAGGUAAAAAUGAAAGAAAUCUGAAUAUAGUAUAGAGUAGCUAAAAACAAACCCCAAAAAAAGGAAAAGCAGAAUAAGCCUUAGAAGAUAGUGAGCAUCCCACUUGGGUGACCACUUACAGAAGCUGAGGUGGGACCCCUGCAUCUGAUAAGAGGUUGCACUAGACCACAGGAACCACAUUCCACUAUAAGAACUAGGGUGGGACUGGACAUGUCAGAACCUCCUGGGACCUCUAUUAAAUGUGCACAUUCCCAAUCCCCACUCCUGAGCAGCUAAAUCAAUCUGCAGGUGGGCCUUGUGAGUUUUCCCAGGGGAUUCCGAUGCCUGCUAGAUGUUAAGUUUUCCUGUAGUCCAGAGAUUCCAUAGGCCAGUGUCAGGGAACAGGAGUCAGGGCUGGGAAGGCAUUAGAACAGAAGACGCAUUUGAGGCUCUGUUACGCUGGUCAUCCAACCCAACCAGAUAUCUCUUGUUAUAUGCUAACCUCAUUUUCUCUUUAUUGUCUAUGGUGGCAAAAAAUAAAUUUUAUGUAGCCAAAAACCCUAACAAAAAGCACUUUUCUGUAUAAUGAGUAGUUUAUUUUAAGAAUGGGUACUACGUAAAUACUGGCAAGUGAAAGUUCAUUUUGUUCAGUGCUAUGGGCUGGUGCGUUGCAUUUCAACACUAGCUUUUUACUUUUAUCUACCCUGAGGGUAGAUAACCCAUAUUCCAAAAUGCAGUAUCAUUUUCAUUUACUGUUAGUAACAUUUUAAGAAAUAUGUAGUUUCUAAAACUUCAUAUACUUUAUAUGGAAUAUGAACAACUUUAAUAUGAAUAGUCUAGAAAAAAACUGUUUUUUUUUUUAGGAAAAAUUGCCACGAAAUCAUGAGCUAAGUCAAUGGUUAUUUUAAGCCACUUAAUUUUGAGACUAGUAUUUCAUACAGAAAAAGCUAAUACUGAUAUCACAUGCUAAUUGCGUAUAAAACACUAAGAAUGUCAAAAUAGAACAUAAGAAAAUGAAUCUAGUGGACCCACUGCAUAGUGUAACUUUGGGAUGAAUUUAAAAGAAUAUUUAAGUCACAGUCAAUUUUCUGUUGGUCUGAUUUUACCAAAUAACCCCCUAAAUAAGGAGUCUGAUUUAUCUAAAAUAGAAGUUAACGUAGCAUCCCAGUAUUGCCAUUCUAAAACUCUGGCAUGUAAAUGGGAGAAAUAGAAAUAAGCUCAAACUCGGUAGAGUAACCCGUUUCUUCAUGAACCAUAGCAUUUAACUAGAAUUUGGCCAGCUCAUGCCUGUAAUCCCAGCAUUUUGGGAGGCCAAGGCAGCCAAAUCACUUGAGCCCGGGAGUUCAAGACCAGCCUGGACAACAUGGUGAAACCCCAUCUCUUCAAAAAUACAUAUAUUUGUGUGUGUGUGUAUGUGUGUGUGUGCACAAAAAUUACCUAAGCGUGGUGGUGCACACCUGUAAUCACAGCUACCUGGGAGGCAGAGGUUGCAGUGAGCUGAGAUCGCACCAUUGCACCCCAGCCUGGGUAAUAGAGCGAGACAACUGUAUCUCAAAAAAAAAGAAUUUCACUAGAAUUUAUAUCUUCAAUGUUUGCAUUAGAUCGUCACCAGCACUAUCUGCCUUGUGACUGUCAGGACUAAUCUUUACAUUGUUUAUCUUAUGUCCUUUACCUCAAUUUAUGUCCAUCACCACAAGAAUCCCAGACCUCCCUAAUCAUACCUUAUGCCCUGGUCUUACCCACAUAUGGCUCAGUAAAACUGCAUCUCCCCAAACCUCAGAACUCCUUGGGCCAUCAUUGUCAGAGACAUUUGAACCAGAACAACUCCAUCUUGAAUAGGGGCUGGGUAUAAUGAAGCUGAGAGCCACUGGGCUGCGUUCCCAGGAAGUUAGGCAUUCUUAGUCACAGGAUGAGAUAGGAGAUUGGCUCAAGGUAAGGUCACAAAGACCUUGCUGGUAAAACAGCAUGUGGUAAAGAAGCCAACCAAAACCCACCAAAACCAAGCUGGGAAUGAAAGUACCUCUGGUCGUCCUCACUGCUCAUUAUACGCUAGUUAUAAUGCAUUGGCAUGCUAACAGACACUCCCACCAGCACCAUGACAGUUUACAAAUGCCAUGGCAACAUCAGGAAGUUAUCCUAUAUGGUCUGAAAAGGGGAGGAACCCUCAGUUCUGAGAACCACCCUUUUCCUCGAAAACUCAUGAAUAAUCCACCCCUUGGUUAGUGUAUGAUCAAGAAUUAACUAUAAAAAUAGCCAACCAGCAGCUCAUGCUGCUGCUCUGCCUAUGGAGUAGCCAUUCUUUCUUCAUAAACCUUCUUUCACUUUAUGGACUCCCCCGGAUUCUUCUGCAGGGGAUCCAAGAACCCUCUCUUGGAGUCUUAAUUGGGACCCCUUUCCAGUAACUUCAGCAGGAUCUGUGAGUGCCAGUUUCCUUCUGUGGGGCAAAACUAAGUGCUAAGUACACUCCCCCCCGCCUUCUCUAUUUUUAAGAGAACUUUCUGCCCUUUUGAAGUGGCUACAUUGUCUGGGGUACAUACCCUGGAGUUCAUUGUCACAGGAGAAUUUAGGACAGACACACGAGGAGUUUAGGAAGUGGAGGUUUAAUAGGUAGAAGAGAAGGGAAAAAGAAACAGCUUCCUCUAUAGAUGUCUGCACUCACACCGUGCAUACCUCCAGGCUUUAAGGCAUGGCCCAUAAUGUGUCUCCGAGUGGAAAAAACCGAUGGUCUCCAAGUGGAAAAGACCGGUUGGUGGUGAAUGCGCCAAAUUUUCUAGUCCGGUUUGAGAAGGCGGUUUCUGAUUGGUUCAAUCAGGUAUGACAUUUGGAUAGUGCAUGUGGAAGGCUGGUCGCCCCUCUCUGAUCUUGUGCAAAUAGGCUUUCCAGUUGAUUGGGCCCAUCUUGUCUAACACGUGGCUGGCAGAGAAGGGAAGAUGAAGCCACCAUCUUGAAAAUGUCUAGUCCUUAGUUUCUGCUGGCAUUCACCCAUGCAAGCUCCCAGCUUAUUUGUCUAUGUCUGCAUCUCAGCUUUACAGACUGCUCUUUGUUAGAAAAUGAUUUGGAGCUGCGUUUUCGUUAAAGAAAAGCCUUACCGAGGACUCCCAUACCCUUACUAUCUGCUUAAGUGAUUUCUUCUUAACUCCUGUAUCACUUUUACACAGCACAGAAUAAUGAUGUGUCCAUAAAUGAGCCUUUGCAAGAUUACCAUUUAUCAAACAAAACCAGUGAUGUUUAGUUAACUGUUUGUAAUAGUAAAUGGUUGGUAGAAUGUCUAAUUCAAUAAAUGUUUCUUAGAUGA
Molecule: non-coding RNA, 8367 nt
Organism: Chlorocebus sabaeus (green monkey)
Lineage: Eukaryota; Metazoa; Chordata; Mammalia; Primates; Cercopithecidae
Source: RefSeq, a predicted model, not a curated record